GACGAACGCUGGCGGCGUGCUUAACACAUGCAAGUCGAACGGGAAGGCCCUGCUUUGGUGGGGUGCUCGAGUUGCGAACGGGUGAGUAACACUUGAGUAACCUGCCCUUGACGUUGGGAUAACUUCAGGAAACUUGGGCUAAUACCGGAUAGGAGCUCCUGCUGCAUGGUGGGGGUUGGAUAGUUUCGGCGGUUGGGGGUGGACUCGCGGCCUAUCCGCUUGUUGGUGGGGUAGUGGCUUACCACGGCUUUGACGGGUAGCCGGCCUGAGAGGGUGACCGGCCACAUUGGAACUGAGAUACGGCCCAGACUCCUACGGGAGGCAGGAGUGGGGAAGAUUGCACAAUGGGCGGAAGCCUGAUGCAGCAACGCCGCGUGCGGGAUGACGGCCUUCGGGUUGUAAACCGCUUUCGCCUGUGACGAAGCGUGAGUGACGGUAAUGGGUAAAGAAGCACCGGCUAACUACGUG
RNAcentral lists this ribosomal RNA (468 nucleotides) under uncultured bacterium. RNAcentral describes it as "partial 16S ribosomal RNA". It matches the Rfam family "Bacterial small subunit ribosomal RNA", at positions 28 to 507 of the family's 1533-position model. The record is from RNAcentral.